Bos indicus x Bos taurus (hybrid cattle) is the source of this 491-nucleotide long non-coding RNA. The record is from Ensembl. NCBI's taxonomy places the organism in Eukaryota, Metazoa, Chordata, Mammalia, Artiodactyla, Bovidae.
CUCCUGGGCAUCUGACUCAAAGCAGGGAGGCUCUGAAAGGGCUGAGAGAUGACCUUGGAAGAUGCCACUUGACUACUUUUCUCUGAAGUGAUAAUACGCCUACCCAGGGAUUGGAGACCUUGGACAGCUGGAGUGAAGAGUGAGGGUGUUCGUCUGAGGCCUCCCCCCUGCCCCAGUCUACCUGUGUGAGGCCGGCUCUGAAGCUUGAAAUUGGCCACAGAGGGAGUAUUUACACCAUGGAAAUUGCAAAUGCUACAGUUCCAGGUCACCUUAUUGAGCUGUUCCCUGCUUGAAAUGUCCCCCGGUCCACUUGUUGCUGAGGGCCACACCUGGUUCAUGUCUGCAUUUCUGGCCUCUAGCACAGGGCACAUCCUGAACUUGGAAAAAGACAGGGGAUAUGGCAUGUGGUACACCUGCCCCCUCCCCCUGGGAGACUGAUAACCUUAAUUGUCAAGUGAGUGUCAUAUUUCAAAUGAACAUUUAUUCAGUAC